Molecule: ribosomal RNA, 490 nt
Filed under: uncultured Gammaproteobacteria bacterium
Lineage: Bacteria; Pseudomonadati; Pseudomonadota; Gammaproteobacteria
Description: bacterial SSU rRNA
Rfam family: Bacterial small subunit ribosomal RNA
Source: RNAcentral
AUUGAACGCUGGCGGCAGGCUUAACACAUGCAAGUCGGGCGGAAACGAAGAUAGCUUGCUAUCAGGCGUCGAGCGGCGGACGGGUGAGUAACGCGUAGGAAUCUACCUAAUGGUGGGGGAUAGCCCGGGGAAACUCGGAUUAAUGCCGCAUACACUCUACGGAGGAAAGCAGGGGCUCUUAGGACCUUGCGCCAAUAGAUGAGCCUGCGUGAGAUUAGCUAGUUGGUGAGGUAAUGGCUCACCAAGGCGACGAUCUCUAGCUGGUCUGAGAGGAUGAUCAGCCACACUGGGACUGAGACACGGCCCAGACUCCUACGGGAGGCAGCAGUGGGGAAUAUUGGACAAUGGGGGCAACCCUGAUCCAGCCAUGCCGCGUGUGUGAAGAAGGCCUUCNGGUUGUAAAGCACUUUCAGCGAGGAGGAAGGCUGUAUGGCUAAUACCCAUACAGAUUGACGUUACUCGCAGAAGAAAGACCGGCUAACUCCGUGCC